CACGUAGGGGCCAAGCGUUGUCCGGAUUUAUUGGGCGUAAAGAGCUCGUAGGCGGUUGGGUAAGUCGGGUGUGAAAACUCUGGGCUCAACUCAGAGACGCCACCCGAUACUGCUCUGACUUGAGUCCGGUAGGGGAGUGGGGAAUUCCUGGUGUAGCGGUGAAAUGCGCAGAUAUCAGGAGGAACACCGGUGGCGAAGGCGCCACUCUGGGCCGGAACUGACGCUGAGGAGCGAAAGCGUGGGUAGCAAACAGG
Molecule: ribosomal RNA, 254 nt
Filed under: uncultured bacterium
Lineage: Bacteria
Description: partial 16S ribosomal RNA
Rfam family: Bacterial small subunit ribosomal RNA
Source: RNAcentral